UCCGAGUAGACCCCGGCAGUCUCCCAUGAGUCCCCGGCAUUACCCGCUGGCAACAUGGAACGAGGGUUGCGCUCGUUGCGGGACUUAACCCAACAUCUCACGACACGAGCUGACGACAACCAUGCACCACCUGUGUUCGGUCCGGCUUAACCCGAAGGAUCCAUCUCUGGUUCCUGCGACCGACAUGUCAAGGGUAGGUAAGGUUCUGCGCGUUGCUUCGAAUUAAACCACAUGCUCCACCGCUUGUGCGGGCCCCCGUCAAUUCCUUUGAGUUUCAGCCUUGCGGCCGUACUCCCCAGGCGGGGCACUUAGUGCGUUAGCUGCGACACCGAAGGGGUCGUUCCCACCGGCAUCUAGUGCCCAUCGUUUACGGCGUGGACUAC
This 383-nucleotide unclassified non-coding RNA is filed under the name uncultured bacterium. Its description in RNAcentral is "contains 16S-23S intergenic spacer region". The record is from RNAcentral.